UCAAUGAUCCUUGAGGCUAUGCAAUGCUAUGCUUAUGAUGCCAUGAGGGAUCUUAGGGACAAAAUUGGGGUCUUACAGUGUGGAUGUAAAAAAGAAAAAAAAAUAGGGAUCAAAGAAAGGGAAAUUGUGUAGAAGUUGAAUGUUUGGGAAUGCUCCCUUAGGAUAGGCAACUUUGUUGAAUUCUCUUAAUCACAUCCUUUCUUGU
Molecule: long non-coding RNA, 205 nt
Filed under: Lathyrus oleraceus (garden pea)
Lineage: Eukaryota; Viridiplantae; Streptophyta; Magnoliopsida; Fabales; Fabaceae
Description: Pisum sativum (pea) long non-coding RNA (PSAT_LNC034139)
Source: RNAcentral